RNAcentral lists this ribosomal RNA (851 nucleotides) under uncultured bacterium. Its description in RNAcentral is "bacterial SSU rRNA". It matches the Rfam family "Bacterial small subunit ribosomal RNA", at positions 596 to 1460 of the family's 1533-position model. The record is from RNAcentral.
GAAAUUUUGCAGCUUAACUGUAACAGUGCCGUUGAUACUGUAGGGCUAGGAUUUGGUUGCUGUGGGUGGAAUGUGUGGUGUAGCGGUGAAAUGCUUAGAUAUCACACAGAAUAUCGAUUGCGAAGGCAGCUCACAAAGCCAAGAUUGACGCUGAGGCACGAAAGUGUGGGGAUCAAACAGGAUUAGAUACCCUGGUAGUCCACACUGUAAACGAUGAUAACUCGCUGCCGGCGAUACACAGUCGGUGGCCAAGCGAAAGCGAUAAGUUAUCCACCUGGGGAGUACGACCGCAAGGUUGAAACUCAAAGGAAUUGACGGGGGCCCGCACAAGCGGAGGAACAUGUGGUUUAAUUCGAUGACACGCGAGGAACCUUACCCGGGCUCGAACGGUGCAUGAAUAUACAAGAGAUUGUAUAGUCCUUCGGGACAUGUAUCGAGGUGCUGCAUGGUUGUCGUCAGCUCGUGCCGUGAGGUGUCGGCUUAAGUGCCAUAACGAGCGCAACCCUUGUCAUUAGUUACCAUCAGGUCAAGCUGGGGACUCUAAUGAGACUGCCACCGUAAGGUGUGAGGAAGGGGGGGAUGACGUCAAAUCAGCACGGCCCUUAUGUCCGGGGCGACACACGUGUUACAAUGGGGGGUACAGAGGGCAGCCAUCCGGCGACGGAGCGCUAAUCUCAAAAACCCUUCUCAGUUCGGAUUGGAGUCUGCAACUCGACUCCAUGAAGUUGGGAUUCGCUAGUAAUCGCGCAUCAGCCAUGGCGCGGUGAAUACGUUCCCGGGCCUUGUACACACCGCCCGUCAGCCAUGGAAAGCUUGGGGUGCCUGAGUUCGUGACCGCAAGGAGCGACUAA